Molecule: unclassified non-coding RNA, 229 nt
Filed under: plant metagenome
Description: partial contains small subunit ribosomal RNA, internal transcribed spacer 1, and 5.8S ribosomal RNA
Source: RNAcentral
UCUCCGUAGGUGAACCUGCGGAGGGAUCAUUACAGAGUUCAUGCCCUACCGGGUAGAUCUCCCACCCUAUGUUAUUAUUACUUUGUUGCUUUGGCGGGCCGUUAGGCUCCGGCACGACUACCGGCCCCGGCUGGUAAGCGCCCGCCAGAGGACCCAAAACCCUGAAUAUUAGUGUCGUCUGAGUACUAUAUAAUAGUUAAAACUUUCAACAACGGAUCUCUUGGUUCUG